This 71-nucleotide transfer RNA is filed under the name Candidatus Nanopelagicales bacterium. Its description in RNAcentral is "tRNA-Gly". It matches the Rfam family "tRNA". Rfam says of the family: Transfer RNA (tRNA) molecules are approximately 80 nucleotides in length. Their secondary structure includes four short double-helical elements and three loops (D, anti-codon, and T loops). RNAcentral also lists the same sequence under 1 other name. Lineage: Bacteria; Bacillati; Actinomycetota; Actinomycetes; Candidatus Nanopelagicales. The record is from RNAcentral.
GCGGGCGUAGUUCAGUGGUAGAACACCAGCUUCCCAAGCUGGAUAUGCGGGUUCGAUUCCCGUCGCCCGCU